AACGCGUAUGCAAUCUACCUUUUACAGAGGGAUAGCCCAGAGAAAUUUGGAUUAAUACCUCAUAGUAUUACGAAAUGGCAUCAUUUUGUAAUUAAAGUCACAACGGUAAAAGAUGAGCAUGCGUCCCAUUAGCUAGUUGGUAAGGUAACGGCUUACCAAGGCUUCGAUGGGUAGGGGUCCUGAGAGGGAGAUCCCCCACACUGGUACUGAGACACGGACCAGACUCCUACGGGAGGCAGCAGUGAGGAAUAUUGGACAAUGGGCGCAAGCCUGAUCCAGCCAUGCCGCGUGCAGGAUGACGGUCCUAUGGAUUGUAAACUGCUUUUAUACGAGAAGAAACACUCCGACGUGUCGGAGCUUGACGGUAUCGUAAGAAUAAGGAUCGGCUAACUCCGUGCCAGCAGCCGCGGUAAUACGGAGGAUCCAAGCGUUAUCCGGAAUCAUUGGGUUUAAAGGGUCCGUAGGCGGUUUAAUAAGUCAGUGGUGAAAGCCCAUCGCUCAACGGUGGAACGGCCAUUGAUACUGUUAAACUUGAAUUAUUAGGAAGUAACUAGAAUAUGUAGUGUAGCGGUGAAAUGCUUAGAGAUUACAUGGAAUACCAAUUGCGAAGGCAGGUUACUACUAAUGGAUUGACGCUGAUGGACGAAAGCGUGGGUAGCGAAGAGGAUUAGAUACCCUGGUAGUCCACGCCGUAAACGAUGGAUACUAGCUGUUGG
This 716-nucleotide ribosomal RNA is filed under the name Flavobacterium sp. A24MTG. Its description in RNAcentral is "bacterial SSU rRNA". It matches the Rfam family "Bacterial small subunit ribosomal RNA", at positions 112 to 826 of the family's 1533-position model. Lineage: Bacteria; Pseudomonadati; Bacteroidota; Flavobacteriia; Flavobacteriales; Flavobacteriaceae. The record is from RNAcentral.